This 253-nucleotide ribosomal RNA is filed under the name uncultured bacterium. RNAcentral describes it as "partial 16S ribosomal RNA". It matches the Rfam family "Bacterial small subunit ribosomal RNA", at positions 524 to 775 of the family's 1533-position model. The record is from RNAcentral.
UACGUAGGGUGCGAGCGUUGGCCGGAAUUAUUGGGCGUAAAGAGCUCGUAGGCGGUGUGUCGCGUCGGUCGUGAAAACUUGGGGCUUAACCCUGAGCUUGCGGUCGAUACGGGCAUGACUGGAGUUCGGCAGGGGAGACUGGAAUUCCUGGUGUAGCGGUGAAAUGCGCAGAUAUCAGGAGGAACACCGGUGGCGAAGGCGGGUCUCUGGGCCGAUACUGACGCUGAGGAGCGAAAGCGUGGGGAGCGAACAG